GGUCUGAUAGUUUAAAAAAAACUUUGAUUUUGUAAAUCAGCAUUGUGAAGUUACUCGGGCCU
Molecule: transfer RNA, 62 nt
Filed under: Colpocephalum spinicollis
Lineage: Eukaryota; Metazoa; Arthropoda; Insecta; Psocodea; Menoponidae
Description: tRNA-Thr
Source: RNAcentral